This 1454-nucleotide ribosomal RNA is filed under the name Escherichia coli. Its description in RNAcentral is "partial 23S ribosomal RNA". It matches the Rfam family "Bacterial large subunit ribosomal RNA", at positions 1233 to 2671 of the family's 2925-position model. RNAcentral also lists the same sequence under 1 other name. The record is from RNAcentral. Lineage: Bacteria; Pseudomonadati; Pseudomonadota; Gammaproteobacteria; Enterobacterales; Enterobacteriaceae.
GGAGCGUUCUGUAAGCCUGCGAAGGUGUGCUGUGAGGCAUGCUGGAGGUAUCAGAAGUGCGAAUGCUGACAUAAGUAACGAUAAAGCGGGUGAAAAGCCCGCUCGCCGGAAGACCAAGGGUUCCUGUCCAACGUUAAUCGGGGCAGGGUGAGUCGACCCCUAAGGCGAGGCCGAAAGGCGUAGUCGAUGGGAAACAGGUUAAUAUUCCUGUACUUGGUGUUACUGCGAAGGGGGGACGGAGAAGGCUAUGUUGGCCGGGCGACGGUUGUCCCGGUUUAAGCGUGUAGGCUGGUUUUCCAGGCAAAUCCGGAAAAUCAAGGCUGAGGCGUGAUGACGAGGCACUACGGUGCUGAAGCAACAAAUGCCCUGCUUCCAGGAAAAGCCUCUAAGCAUCAGGUAACAUCAAAUCGUACCCCAAACCGACACAGGUGGUCAGGUAGAGAAUACCAAGGCGCUUGAGAGAACUCGGGUGAAGGAACUAGGCAAAAUGGUGCCGUAACUUCGGGAGAAGGCACGCUGAUAUGUAGGUGAAGUCCCUUGCGGAUGGAGCUGAAAUCAGUCGAAGAUACCAGCUGGCUGCAACUGUUUAUUAAAAACACAGCACUGUGCAAACACGAAAGUGGACGUAUACGGUGUGACGCCUGCCCGGUGCCGGAAGGUUAAUUGAUGGGGUCAGCGCAAGCGAAGCUCUUGAUCGAAGCCCCGGUAAACGGCGGCCGUAACUAUAACGGUCCUAAGGUAGCGAAAUUCCUUGUCGGGUAAGUUCCGACCUGCACGAAUGGCGUAAUGAUGGCCAGGCUGUCUCCACCCGAGACUCAGUGAAAUUGAACUCGCUGUGAAGAUGCAGUGUACCCGCGGCAAGACGGAAAGACCCCGUGAACCUUUACUAUAGCUUGACACUGAACAUUGAGCCUUGAUGUGUAGGAUAGGUGGGAGGCUUUGAAGUGUGGACGCCAGUCUGCAUGGAGCCGGCCUUGAAAUACCACCCUUUAAUGUUUGAUGUUCUAACGUGGACCCGUGAUCCGGGUUGCGGACAGUGUCUGGUGGGUAGUUUGACUGGGGCGGUCUCCUCCUAAAGAGUAACGGAGGAGCACGAAGGUUGGCUAAUCCUGGUCGGACAUCAGGAGGUUAGUGCAAUGGCAUAAGCCAGCUUGACUGCGAGCGUGACGGCGCGAGCAGGUGCGAAAGCAGGUCAUAGUGAUCCGGUGGUUCUGAAUGGAAGGGCCAUCGCUCAACGGAUAAAAGGUACUCCGGGGAUAACAGGCUGAUACCGCCCAAGAGUUCAUAUCGACGGCGGUGUUUGGCACCUCGAUGUCGGCUCAUCACAUCCUGGGGCUGAAGUAGGUCCCAAGGGUAUGGCUGUUCGCCAUUUAAAGUGGUACGCGAGCUGGGUUUAGAACGUCGUGAGACAGUUCGGUCCCUAUCUGCCGUGGGCGCUGGAGAACUGAGGGGGG